UACAGAGGGUGCAAACGUUGCUCGGAAUCAUUGGGCGUAAAGCGCACGUAGGCGGCCCAGCAAGCGGGGAGUGAAAGCCCUCGGCUUAACCGAGGAAGUGCUUUCCGAACUACUGGGCUUGAAUACUGGAGAGGGUCGCGGAAUUCCCGGUGUAGAGGUGAAAUUCGUAGAUAUCGGGAGGAACACCGGUGGCGAAGGCGGCUCGCUGGGCAGUGGCUGACGCUGAGGCGCGACAGCGUGGGGAGCAAACAGG
RNAcentral lists this ribosomal RNA (253 nucleotides) under uncultured bacterium. Its description in RNAcentral is "partial 16S ribosomal RNA". It matches the Rfam family "Bacterial small subunit ribosomal RNA", at positions 524 to 776 of the family's 1533-position model. The record is from RNAcentral.